UGCUUACACAUGCAAGUCGAACGAUGAACCUCCUUCGGGAGGGGAUUAGUGGCGAACGGGUGAGUAACACGUGGGCAAUCUGCCCUGCACUCUGGGACAAGCCCUGGAAACGGGGUCUAAUACCGGAUACUGACCCGCUUGGGCAUCCAAGCGGUUCGAAAGCUCCGGCGGUGCAGGAUGAGCCCGCGGCCUAUCAGCUUGUUGGUGAGGUAAUGGCUCACCAAGGCGACGACGGGUAGCCGGCCUGAGAGGGCGACCGGCCACACUGGGACUGAGACACGGCCCAGACUCCUACGGGAGGCAGCAGUGGGGAAUAUUGCACAAUGGGCGAAAGCCUGAUGCAGCGACGCCGCGUGAGGGAUGACGGCCUUCGGGUUGUAAACCUCUUUCAGCAGGGAAGAAGCGAAAGUGACGGUACCUGCAGAAGAAGCGCCGGCUAACUACGUGCCAGCAGCCGCGGUAAUACGUAGGGCGCGAGCGUUGUCCGGAAUUAUUGGGCGUAAAGAGCUCGUAGGCGGCUUGUCACGUCGGUUGUGAAAGCCCGGGGCUUAACCCCGGGUCUGCAGUCGAUACGGGCAGGCUAGAGUUCGGUAGGGGAGAUCGGAAUUCCUGGUGUAGCGGUGAAAUGCGCAGAUAUCAGGAGGAACACCGGUGGCGAAGGCGGAUCUCUGGGCCGAUACUGACGCUGAGGAGCGAAAGCGUGGGGAGCGAACAGGAUUAGAUACCCUGGUAGUCCACGCCGUAAACGGUGGGCACUAGGUGUGGGCGACAUUCCACGUCG
RNAcentral lists this ribosomal RNA (781 nucleotides) under Streptomyces sp. D47. RNAcentral describes it as "bacterial SSU rRNA". It matches the Rfam family "Bacterial small subunit ribosomal RNA", at positions 45 to 839 of the family's 1533-position model. Lineage: Bacteria; Bacillati; Actinomycetota; Actinomycetes; Kitasatosporales; Streptomycetaceae. The record is from RNAcentral.